This 478-nucleotide ribosomal RNA is filed under the name uncultured bacterium. Its description in RNAcentral is "partial 16S ribosomal RNA". It matches the Rfam family "Bacterial small subunit ribosomal RNA", at positions 28 to 507 of the family's 1533-position model. The record is from RNAcentral.
GAUGAACGCUGGCGGCGUGCUUAACACAUGCAAGUCGAACGAGAAGUGGAGACGGAAACCUUCGGGCGGAAGACUUUAUUUCGAGUGGCGGACGGGUGAGUAACGCUUGGGUAACCUGCCUCAUACAGGGGGAUAACAGUUGGAAACGACUGUUAAUACCGCAUAAGACCACAGCACCGCAUGGUGCGGGGGUAAAAACUCCGGUGGUAUGAGAUGGACCCGCGUUCGAUUAGCCAGUUGGCGGGGUAACGGCCCACCAAAGCGACGAUCGAUAGCCGAUCUGAGAGGAUGACCGGACACAUUGGGACUGAGACACGGCCCAAACUCCUACGGGAGGCAGCAGUGGGGAAUAUUGCACAAUGGGGGAAACCCUGAUGCAGCGACGCCGCGUGAGUGAAGAAGUAUUUCGGUAUGUAAAGCUAGAUCAGCAGGGAAGAAAAUGACGGUACCUGAGGAAGAAGCCCCGGCUAACUACGUG